Long non-coding RNA from Ailuropoda melanoleuca (giant panda), 5452 nucleotides. RefSeq lists it as uncharacterized. The record is from RefSeq and is a predicted model, not a curated record. The transcript is spliced from 2 exons. NCBI's taxonomy places the organism in Eukaryota, Metazoa, Chordata, Mammalia, Carnivora, Ursidae.
GAUGGAUCACUAAAUUCUACCCUUGAAACUAAUAAUAUAGUAUAUGUUAACUAGAUUGAAUUUAAAUAAAGAAAAGAAAACAAACAAAAACUAUUCUGAAGGUAAAUAUUCAUCCUGUCCUCACUGAGAUGGGGAAACUCGGGCACAAAAGAGGUUAAGUAACUUGCCCAAUGGCAUAGUAAAUAUCAGAACCGGAUACAGACCUAAGUGUGUGACUCUGGGGUCUGUGCUCCUAAUCCCUAUGCCAUCAUGCCUCCUGAUUUAUUCAAAAAAAGGAAUAAAUUAGUGAGGUAGUUUAUCAUCUAGAAAAGUACUUUAAAUGAGUAAAUGAAGCUCAGUUUUAUACACUUGCAAAGAUUUCAUCUUCUCUGAUUUCUUCAUAUUGUCUUCGUAAUUCCUAUUACAGAGUCACAGCCAAAUGUAGGUAAAGUAUACACUUACUUGUAUUUCACACUCUGUUUACCAACAAACUUUUUAUUUUUUGAGGCACUUGCUAAGUGCCAAAGAAUAAGGCAUGGUCCUUCCCUCUGAGAGUACCCUGGCUUCUCAUACACAAAAUAAUCCACAUAGUGCAGUUCAUGCAGUGGGUUCUAAGAGUUCUCAGACAAAACGGCAAUAGAAGUCAGAGUUGACAAAGAUCCCUGCUGACCUGGGUGACUGGGAAAGGCUUUGCACAGGAGUAGCAGAUGAACAGAACUUUGAGAUGGAUAAGAUUUUUGUUGGGCUGAUAAGGGGAGAACAUUCUCCAGUAGCCAGGACAGCUUGAAGAAAGAAGCUAAUAUUAGAAAGCACAAGGCAUGGCUAAAUAGUGGAGUGCAGACUACAUUAGUUGAAAAUGGGACUUGUAAAGUUCUAGGAACGGGAACUGUGUAAAAUCUAGACUACCAGGCAAGGGAGCUUGGCUUUAUUUCAUGUAAAUUUGUUGAGCAAGGUAAUAACAUGGUCAUCGUGGCUAUCAUCAAAGUAAGAUUACCCAUAUAUUAUUUCAUAUUUUAUAAAUUCACAUUGCCUAGCACAUUGUAGGUACUCAAGAAAUUUCAGUCCUCCGAUCUCUUCCCUUACUCAUUAGCUAGGUGAUCUCAUUAGCUAGGUGAUCUCAUUCAGUCUUGUGGCUUUAAAUGUCAUAUAUACAGUUACAACUCCAAAAGUAUGUAUCUUCAUCCCAGGCUCUCCCUGAACUCUUAGAUAUUUGUACACACAACUGGCUAUUCAACACCUCCACCUUAUGUCUAAUUGGCAUUUCAAAUUAAACAUAGCUAGGUGAUCUCAUUCAGUCUUGUGGCUUUAAAUGUCAUAUAUACAGUUACAACUCCAAAAGUAUGUAUCUUCAUCCCAGGCUCUCCCUGAACUCUUAGAUAUUUGUACACACAACUGGCUAUUCAACACCUCCACCUUAUGUCUAAUUGGCAUUUCAAAUUAAACAUAGCUAGGUGAUCUCAUUCAGUCUUGUGGCUUUAAAUGUCAUAUAUACAGUUACAACUCCAAAAGUAUGUAUCUUCAUCCCAGGCUCUCCCUGAACUCUUAGAUAUUUGUACACACAACUGGCUAUUCAACACCUCCACCUUAUGUCUAAUUGGCAUUUCAAAUUAAACAUAGCUAGGUGAUCUCAUUCAGUCUUGUGGCUUUAAAUGUCAUAUAUACAGUUACAACUCCAAAAGUAUGUAUCUUCAAUCCCAGGCUCUCCCUGAACUCUUAGAUAUUUGUACACACAACUGGCUAUUCAACACCUCCACCUUAUGUCUAAUUGGCAUUUCAAAUUAAACAUAGUCAAAACUAGGGACUUCUGGGUGGCUCAGUUGUUAAGUGUCUGCCUUUGGCUCAGGUCAUGAUCCCAGGGACCUAGGAUUGAGCCCCGAGUCGGGCUCCCUGCUCAGUAGGGAGCCUGCUUCUCCCUCUCCUUCUGCCCCUCCCCCUGCCUGUGUGCUUUCUCUCUCUCUCUCUCUCUCUCUAUCAAAUAAAUAAAUAAAACCUUUAAAAAAAUAAAAUAUACAUAGUCAAAACUGAACUCCUGAUUCCUACCCUCCCCCAAACCUUCUCCUUUCAUAGUCUUCCUCAAGUCAUUAAAUGGCAACUUCAUUCCAUUUUUUUUCAGGCCAGAAACCUUGGAGUCAUCCUUGACUUGUCUUUCAUUUCUCCAUCCAACUCCUAAGCAAAUUCUCUUGGUUUUACCUUCGAAGAAUAUUCUAAAUCUACUUCUCGCUACCUCCACAACUAACCCUAGACCAAGCCACUAUAAUCUCUUGUCCAGAUUAUUGCAGUGGUGUCUUAACUGGCCACUCGCCCUCCACCCAUGCAACUUUUCUACCCCUUCAGUCUCCUUUUCUAAAAAACAGAGACUUUAAGAUAUAUACAUAAGGCAAAUCAUAUCACUUCUCAAAACCCUGUAGUAGUUCCCCAUCUAGUUCCAAACUUUUAAAAGGCCCUCCCUGCUGUGACUCCCUGGCAUUUCUCUGACUCCAUUCAAUCUUUUCCAGUCACUUUGGCAUCCUUGCUAUUUGCGAAAUACAGCAAAACAUUUUCUCACUUCAAGGCCUUGCAUGUGCACUUUCUUCCUCUAGAAAUCUGCAUUGCUCAUGCCCUUCCUUCAAGUCUUGCUCAAAUGUUGCCUUUUCAUUGAGGCCUUUUCUGACCCCCCAUUUAAAAUAAGUCUUUCUUCCCUCCUUUCAGCUCCCACCUUUCUAACUGACAGCCCUUAGGCUGUCUACCAUUUAUUGAGUUCCCACUGUGUAUUAGGCAGUUGUGCUAUGCACUUUACAGGUGUCAUCUAUUUGAAUCCUUACAACCGACUUAUGAAAUGGGUAUUAUCAUUACCUUAUAGUUGAAAUAAUGAAAGGCACAAAGAAGCAGAUUUCAAACCCUUGUCCAAAAUCUAUUAUAUCGGGCAAAUAUUAUUCCCGUUUUACAGAUACAGGAACUGAAGCUUGUAAGUUAAGUGUUUUGUACAAGAUCACAUAACCAGGAAGUGGAAAUUAAAUAUGAAGGUCCUGAUUCUUUCCAUUAUAUCUCACUGGCAGCCUGGAAAGGUAAGUUGACAUGAAGAAAGACUGAAGCCAAAAGAAUAGUCAAGGGAUGUUGCAGUACCUAAAAUGAGAUUGAUAGGGGCACCUGGGUGGCGCAGUUGUUAAGCAUCUUCCUUCGGCUAAGGGCAUGAUCCCAGCGUUCUGGGAUCGAGCCCCACAUCAGGCUCCUCCGCUGGGAGCCUGCUUCUUUCUCUUCCACUCCCCCUGCUUGUGUUCCCUCUUUCACUGGCUGUCUCUCUCUGUCAAGUAAAUAAAUAAAAUCUUUUAAAAAAAAUAAAAUGAGAUUGAUAAAAAUGCAGCCAAGAAGGGGCAGAUUAGAGAGAUGCUUAUACAUAGUCUACUAAUGCCUGGACUAAGUAUUUGAUAAAUGGUUCCACAGUUUCUCCUAUAGCAUCUGUACUUGGAGUCAGAGAGAUCUUGGUUCUAAUACUGGCACUCCAUCUGUUUGCUGAGUUACAUUGAGUACAUUAUUUCUGUUGGCUAUAUUUUAGUUACUUCAUCUUUCAAGUGAGGAUAAUGUCAUGUGUCCUCACUAAUAUAUUGUGAUGAUAAGAUUAAAAGUGAUAAUGAAAACACUUAGUAAACGGCAGAGGCCCAUGCUGCUUGAUUUGGUAAUGCUGAGUUCCUUUUAUCCAUUUCCAGCAAGUCACUGCUUUUGCCCUGUCUUAACCUUUAAAAAAUAAGUUUUGACACGCACUCCUCAUUCCUAAUAUGAGGGUGACCUGCAUUUUGUCAUUUCUGUUAUAACAGACUGUUCCUUGGAAGAAGUCCACUAUUUAUUGCAGUCUCCCUAGUGUAGAAAAAAUGUGUUCUGAGUAUUGGCAGUCAUGACAAGGAGACAGCACAGUGAUAAAAAGAACCUGUUACCAGGUGGAGGUUGGGCGAGGCACACAACCUCUCUAAACUUGUUCCUUUAUCUGUACAAGGCAGAUAAUAAUAACUAUGAAUGAGGUGGUUAUAGAAUUAAGAGAGGUGAUUUGAGGGCAAGGACACGACACAUGGUAGGUGCUCAGGACAUGUGAUGCUUUAAAAUGUGUAGACCUUGGGACCCCUGGGUGGGUCAUUCAGUUAAGCAUCUGCUGGGUCCUGGGAUCAAGUCCUGCAUCUGGCUCCUUACUCAGCGGGAACCCUGCUUCUCUCUCUGCCUGCCGCUUCCCCUGCUUGUGCUUUCUCUCUGUCUCUCUCUCUCUCUCUGACAGAUAGAUAAAUCUAUCUAUCUAUCUUAAAAAAUAAAUAAAUAAAAUAAAAUGUGUAGACCUUGUGCUUGGAAGAAAUAACAUGGCUCACCAGCUGGACAUGCCUCUGGGCAAGGCACUGUGUGUAGGAUGAAACCACACCAUCUCACUUUCAGCAUAUUUUCCUUUAAGGGAGCAUAUUCUCUCCUCCUUCCUGCAUGUUACUGUUUCCACAAAGCAGAAUACUCUUAGUUGAGAUUGCAUGGAAAUAUGACUAACCACCAAAGAGGCUUGCAGUGAAAUGUGUUGGUAUAAUUUCCUGCUUAGUUUCAAGAUGAAUUGAGUCUGAGCCUUCCAAAAGUGGGUGGAUCUCUGAUGUGAAAGUUUUCUUUGAAAUUUUUAUGGCUGAUUUGGUGACCUCUUCAAUUCUCACAGCCUUUUCCACCUCUCAAUCAGACAGGGGAAUUAACAAUUAUUAAUAUCCUACUCUGCGCCAGAACCUGUGCCAGACCCUUCAGAAAGCAUUCUCUCAUUGAAUCUCUAUACAAACCCUAAGACAUAGAUAGUAGCCCCAUUUUACAAAUAGGACAGCUGAAGCUAAGAGACAUUAAGUAAUCUUUCGGGAUGCCUGGGUUGCUCAGUUGGUUAAGCAUCUGCCUUUGGCUCGUAUCAUGAUUUCAGGGUCCUGGGAUCGAGCCCCACGUUGGGCUCUCCACUCAGCGGGGAGUCUUCUUCUCCCUGUCACUCUCCCUCUGUGCUUUCCUCUCUCUCUGUCUCUCUCAAAUAAAUAAAAUAUUUUUUAAGUAAUCUUUCCAAGGUCACAUACAUAGUAACUGACAUAAUUGUGAUUUGAAACUCCAAAGUCUAUGCUUUUUAUCCUAAGCAGAAAACUUUUUCAUAUAAUGUGUCAGGGGGACCCCAAGACCACCUCCAGAUUUGAUGGUUGCCUAGGAGGACUCACAAGACUAAGCAUGUAGUCAUACUCAUGGCUACAAUUUACUACAGUAAAAGGAUACAAACCAAAAUCGGCAAAGGGGAAAGGCGCAUGGGGAGAAGUCCAGGAGAAACCAGGCACGUGCUUUCAAGGAUUCUCUCCCAGGAGAGUCCCACAGAUUGAGCUUAAUUUCCCCAGCAGUGAUUUGAAACAACAUAUGCGAAGUGUUGGCACGCAAAGAAGCUUACUAGGGACUUGUGUACCCAGGGUUUUUAUUGGAACCUGAUCACAAAGGCAGAUACCCUCCGCCUAGGUACCCAAAU